Long non-coding RNA from Peromyscus leucopus (white-footed mouse), 1048 nucleotides. RefSeq lists it as uncharacterized. The record is from RefSeq and is a predicted model, not a curated record. NCBI's taxonomy places the organism in Eukaryota, Metazoa, Chordata, Mammalia, Rodentia, Cricetidae. The transcript has 2 exons.
GCUGGCCUUGAACUCAGAUCCGCCUGCCUCUGCCUCCUGAGUACUGACUGGGAUUAAAGGUGUGCACCAUCACAGCCAGGUUCCCCACUUUAACUGAACUUGUAACUUGCUGAUUUGGUGAGGCUGACCAGCCAGCAAGCCCUGGGAAUCCACUGGUCUCCACCUCCCCAGCACCGGGGUUACAGGCGCGUGCCAGGCUGGUGUGUGGCACGGGGACCCAAACUUGGGUCUCCCUGCUGCACAAGCAUUUCACUGAUAGACCCGGCUCCCAGCCCUGCCCAUUCUUCUCUCCUCCUUUCUCUUCCUCUCUAUUCCCUCUCCUCUGCACUCCCUCCCUCCCUCCCUCCCUUCUCCCUCAGCUCUCAACCCCAAGGGCCUCUAAGUGGACUCCUCUCCUGGUGCUGGGAGGUUCCCAGACUCUGGGAGGGAGGUGGACCACCAGUGGCCACAAAAGGUCAUGGCAGGAAGCUGACUACCUGGAGCAUGGCUACCAAGCCAGAGUCCAGGUGUGGGGCAGGGUCUUUGUGACACUCCUUUUUUCUGUCUGUCCUGGACGCUGGACAUUUCCUGGAGGAACCAGACCCUGAAGGUGGGAAGCAAAGAAUCAGCUCAGAGCGAGGAGAGCUGCCCACAGACACGGCCCUCCACCCUCUUCAGGCAUCAGCAACGGAAGGCCUCAGCUGACUUCAGUUUUCCAGAUGAAAACAUCUGUGCAACACCUGCAGGACACUGAAGACCAGCAGCUGUUAGGACAGAGGCUUCUUAGGACUCACCUGCCUGAAGGACCAACACUGCUCAACACAGCAGAUCGUGUGUGUGUGUGUGUGUGUGUGUGUGUGUGUGUGUGUGUGUGUGUGUAGCUAAUGGGACUGUCACCACCUCCUGGCACAGAGUGAAACUGCAACCAGCUGGAUUAGGCACUGAAAUUUGUCCCCAAUAAAGGACAGUUGGGGUGAGGGAAGCUGUGGAGGAAGGGAUAUGGAAAAUUCUGUAAAAAUGAACACUUUUACUCCUAAUACAGAAACACUGACAGCAAGUGUUUGUCUGA